AGAGUUUGAUCCUGGCUCAGAUUGAACGCUGGCGGCAGGCCUAACACAUGCANGUCGAGCGGUAGAGAGAAACUUGCUUCUCUUGAGAGCGGCGGACGGGUGAGUAAAGCCUAGGAAUCUGCCUGGUAGUGGGGGAUAACGUUCGGAAACGGACGCUAAUACCGCAUACGUCCUACGGGAGAAAGCAGGGGACCUUCGGGCCUUGCGCUAUCAGAUGAGCCUAGGUCGGAUUAGCUAGUUGGUGAGGUAAUGGCUCACCAAGGCGACGAUCCGUAACUGGUCUGAGAGGAUGAUCAGUCACACUGGAACUGAGACACGGUCCAGACUCCUACGGGAGGCAGCAGUGGGGAAUAUUGGACAAUGGGCGAAAGCCUGAUCCAGCCAUGCCGCGUGUGUGAAGAAGGUCUUCGGAUUGUAAAGCACUUUAAGUUGGGAGGAAGGGCAUUAACCUAAUACGUUAGUGUUUUGACGUUACCGACAGAAUAAGCACCGGCUAACUCUGUGCCAGCAGCCGCGGUAAUACAGAGGGUGCAAGCGUUAAUCGGAAUUACUGGGCGUAAAGCGCGCGUAGGUGGUUUGUUAAGUUGGAUGUGAAAUCCCCGGGCUCAACCUGGGAACUGCAUUCAAAACUGACUGAUCAGAGUAUGGUAGAGGGUGGUGGAAUUUCCUGUGUAGCGGUGAAAUGCGUANAUUUAGGAAGGAACACCAGUGGCGAAG
Molecule: ribosomal RNA, 717 nt
Filed under: uncultured bacterium
Lineage: Bacteria
Description: bacterial SSU rRNA
Rfam family: Bacterial small subunit ribosomal RNA
Source: RNAcentral